Pezoporus occidentalis (night parrot) is the source of this 431-nucleotide long non-coding RNA. RefSeq lists it as uncharacterized. NCBI's taxonomy places the organism in Eukaryota, Metazoa, Chordata, Aves, Psittaciformes, Psittacidae. The transcript has 3 exons. The record is from RefSeq and is a predicted model, not a curated record.
CACAACUCCUUGUGGAAGUACAUCCUGGAGGGGUGACUGGGCGCAUACCACUUUCCGCUCCAGCCUGAGCAGUGAAUGAAACUCAAGUCUCCUGGGGCUACCGGGUUACCUCUUCCACAGAUUCGUGGUCUUUAGAGAAAUUUAUGAGAACGCCAUGUCAGACAUCAAAGAGCUGUUGAAGUUGUCAAAUUUCAGGCUUAAAAGAACUGCGAGAGAUGCCAAAGCCAAGUUUGUUCUGUUCACAUUGUGUAGCCGCUAAUGAAAUAAAAUACCAAGGAGGCAAAGGGAGAACAGAGAGACAGCAGGCAAAAAUAAUUCCUGAACACAGCAGAUGGCAUAAGAACCUUGUCAAGAGAAUCUUAGUUUUAAAGCUCAGAUAACAGCAUCAUAAAUGUAGUUACAAUUCAAGCUGAGUGUCCAGAAUAGGGACA